Aedes albopictus (Asian tiger mosquito) is the source of this 1065-nucleotide long non-coding RNA. RefSeq lists it as uncharacterized. The transcript has 3 exons. The record is from RefSeq and is a predicted model, not a curated record. NCBI's taxonomy places the organism in Eukaryota, Metazoa, Arthropoda, Insecta, Diptera, Culicidae.
CCGCGUCGUGGUGUAAUUUGGAAGAUAGAAUUCGACAUAGCGAAAUUGUAGUCGAUUAAGUGGCGGCAAAGUGCGUGAAUUGAGUGCGUUUAAGGUUCGUGGCAGCCGGGCAUUUGCCGUUACACCACCAUCCCACCAGAGACCGCUUUUGACCCCAUCGAUCGGCAUCGAAGGUCCCAGGGCACACGUGGCCGGAAGAGGGCCGCGUCUCGUUAAAUAUCGCGCCCUGGUCAGGCAAGCCCAAUCAGUUUUAUUCCCGCUCCGUACGACGGGGAAAACCGCCAACAAUCAACGACGACGAAUACGUUUUGUUGCGCCGUUCGUACGCAUGUGCCGCGUACUCGCGUAAGCCCACGCGCCGAGGGUGUGAGAGAGAAAAUCCGUAGGUGACGCUAACAACCGUGAGCGAAGUGGGCCGGAGUAAGCCAAGAAGCUCCGCGUGCCCGCCGCCAUCUCCUCACAUUCCAUCGAAGACCACGUAAAUCCUAGGUAGUGAGUACUUGCAUGCAUUUCUCUGUUUUGUGAUUGUCCAUGCGAAUGAGACGUUCUCAUCACAACCAACCAGUGUAUCCAUGAAUGGUCUCGGUACCUCCAAUCUCAUGUACCGAUAGACACCGAUCGAGUAUGACACACGCACGCACGCAGGCCAACAGUGGUAGAGGUCGCACACAUUAGAUAGGACAGUUUGUCGAGAUAGGGAAAGGGAAGAGAAGAUAUGACCUAGGCUAGCUACGAGAACGAAUGUAGGAAAAUAAACAGAUCGCAAUAAAUCUCUCUGGAUGUUUGUGUGAAAGCUUCAUGUGUUAAACUUAAUGACCGAAUAGGAAGAGAUUUGUACCGUUUGCUAUACUGCUGUUCGUCGUGAAGUUGUUUGGUAGCGCACCAGAUUAGAUUCGCAAUUACUGUUUAAAGAGGGUUCUCAUAUCGUUUCGGGUACGUUUCAGGUUGUCAUUCCUUGUUAUUUUUGGGGAGUAGUUAGCUCCGAUUCUGGCUAAGAUUACUUUCCAAUUGGAUGCGUUUCGUUCCGUUGAGGUGAGAGAAAUUGAGCCGAUGAUGAGAACAGUU